This 440-nucleotide ribosomal RNA is filed under the name uncultured bacterium. RNAcentral's name for it is "partial 16S ribosomal RNA". It matches the Rfam family "Bacterial small subunit ribosomal RNA", at positions 338 to 795 of the family's 1533-position model. The record is from RNAcentral.
CCUACGGGCGGCAGCAGUGGGGAAUAUUGCACAAUGGGGGAAACCCUGAUGCAGCGACGCCGCGUGAGCGAUGAAGUAUUUCGGUAUGUAAAGCUCUAUCAGCAGGGAAGAAGAUGACGGUACCUGACUAAGAAGCCCCGGCUAACUACGUGCCAGCAGCCGCGGUAAUACGUAGGUGGCGAGCGUUGUCCGGAUUUACUGGGCGUAAAGGGAGCGUAGGCGGACUUUUAAGUGAGAUGUGAAAUACUCGGGCUGAACUUGAGUGCUGCAUUUCAAACUGGAAGUCUAGAGUGCAGGAGAGGAGAAUGGAAUUCCUAGUGUAGCGGUGAAAUGCGUAGAUAUUAGGAGGAACACCAGUGGCGAAGGCGGCCUGCUGGGCUUUUACUGACGCUGAGGCUCGAAAGUGUGGGGAGCAAACAGGAUUAGAUACCCCAGUAGUC